This 395-nucleotide ribosomal RNA is filed under the name uncultured bacterium. RNAcentral's name for it is "partial 16S ribosomal RNA". It matches the Rfam family "Bacterial small subunit ribosomal RNA", at positions 523 to 918 of the family's 1533-position model. The record is from RNAcentral.
AUACGUAGGGUGCAAGCGUUAAUCGGAAUUACUGGGCGUAAAGCGUGCGCAGGCGGUUUUGUAAGACAGUGGUGAAAUCCCCGGGCUCAACCUGGGAACUGCCAUUGUGACUGCAAGGCUGGAGUGCGGCAGAGGGGGAUGGAAUUCCGCGUGUAGCAGUGAAAUGCGUAGAUAUGCGGAGGAACACCGAUGGCGAAGGCAAUCCCCUGGGCCUGCACUGACGCUCAUGCACGAAAGCGUGGGGAGCAAACAGGAUUAGAUACCCUGGUAGUCCACGCCCUAAACGAUGUCAACUGGUUGUUGGGGAUUUAUUUUCUCAGUAACGAAGCUAACGCGUGAAGUUGACCGCCUGGGGAGUACGGCCGCAAGGUUAAAACUCAAAGGAAUUGGCGGGG